RNAcentral lists this ribosomal RNA (505 nucleotides) under uncultured Gammaproteobacteria bacterium. RNAcentral describes it as "bacterial SSU rRNA". It matches the Rfam family "Bacterial small subunit ribosomal RNA", at positions 235 to 732 of the family's 1533-position model. The record is from RNAcentral. Lineage: Bacteria; Pseudomonadati; Pseudomonadota; Gammaproteobacteria.
GUCGGAUUAGCUAGUUGGUGGGGUAAAGGCCCACCAAGGCGACGAUCCGUAGUUGGUCUGAGAGGAUGAUCAGCCACACUGGAACUGAGACACGGUCCAGACUCCUACGGGAGGCAGCAGUGGGGAAUAUUGGACAAUGGGGGCAACCCUGAUCCAGCCAUGCCGCGUGUGUGAAGAAGGCCUUCGGGUUGUAAAGCACUUUUGUACGGGAAGAAACCUUCCGGGUUAAUACCCUGGGAGACUGACGGUACCGUAAGAAUAAGCACCGGCUAACUUCGUGCCAGCAGCCGCGGUAAUACGAAGGGUGCAAGCGUUACUCGGAAUUACUGGGCGUAAAGCGUGCGUAGGUGGUUCGUUAAGUCUGCCGUGAAAGCCCCGGGCUCAACCUGGGAAUUGCGGUGGAUACUGGCGGACUAGAGUGCGGUAGAGGGUGGUGGAAUUCCCGGUGUAGCAGUGAAAUGCGUAGAGAUCGGGAGGAACAUCUGUGGCGAAGGCGGCCACCUGG